AGUCGAAACGCUUACGUAGCGUCUCUCAGAGGUGGCCUCCUGAGACUGAUGAUGACAGGCUUAA
This 64-nucleotide non-coding RNA is filed under the name Alloalcanivorax gelatiniphagus. The record is from RNAcentral. Lineage: Bacteria; Pseudomonadati; Pseudomonadota; Gammaproteobacteria; Oceanospirillales; Alcanivoracaceae.